GAUGAACGCUGGCGGCGUGCCUAAUACAUGCAAGUCGAGCGAAAAGACGAGGAGCUUGCUCCCCUGACGUUAGCGGCGGACGGGUGAGUAACACGUGGAUAACCUACCUAUAAGACUGGGAUAACUUCGGGAAACCGGAGCUAAUACCGGAUAAUAUAUUGAACCGCAUGGUUCAAUAGUGAAAGACGGUUUUGCUGUCACUUAUAGAUGGAUCCGCGCCGCAUUAGCUAGUUGGUAAGGUAACGGCUUACCAAGGCAACGAUGCGUAGCCGACCUGAGAGGGUGAUCGGCCACACUGGAACUGAGACACGGUCCAGACUCCUACGGGAGGCAGCAGUAGGGAAUCUUCCGCAAUGGGCGAAAGCCUGACGGAGCAACGCCGCGUGAGUGAUGAAGGUCUUCGGAUCGUAAAACUCUGUUAUUAGGGAAGAACAAAUGUGUAAGUAACUAUGCACGUCUUGACGGUACCUAAUCAGAAAGCCACGGCUAACUACGUG
Molecule: ribosomal RNA, 497 nt
Filed under: uncultured bacterium
Lineage: Bacteria
Description: partial 16S ribosomal RNA
Rfam family: Bacterial small subunit ribosomal RNA
Source: RNAcentral